RNAcentral lists this ribosomal RNA (1429 nucleotides) under uncultured organism. RNAcentral's name for it is "partial small subunit ribosomal RNA". It matches the Rfam family "Bacterial small subunit ribosomal RNA". The record is from RNAcentral.
GCGUGCUUAACACAUGCAAGUCGAACGGAAAGGCCCUGCUUUUGUGGGGUGCUCGAGUGGCGAACGGGUGAGUAACACGUGAGUAACCUGCCCUUGACUUUGGGAUAACUUCAGGAAACUGGGGCUAAUACCGGAUAGGAGCUCCUGCUGCAUGGUGGGGGUUGGAAAGUUUCGGCGGUUGGGGAUGGACUCGCGGCUUAUCAGCUUGUUGGUGGGGUAGUGGCUUACCAAGGCUUUGACGGGUAGCCGGCCUGAGAGGGUGACCGGCCACAUUGGGACUGAGAUACGGCCCAGACUCCUACGGGAGGCAGCAGUGGGGAAUAUUGCACAAUGGGCGGAAGCCUGAUGCAGCAACGCCGCGUGCGGGAUGACGGCCUUCGGGUUGUAAACCGCUUUCGCCUGUGACGAAGCGUGAGUGACGGUAAUGGGUAAAGAAGCACCGGCUAACUACGUGCCAGCAGCCGCGGUGAUACGUAGGGUGCGAGCGUUGUCCGGAUUUAUUGGGCGUAAAGGGCUCGUAGGUGGUUGAUCGCGUCGGAAGUGUAAUCUUGGGGCUUAACCCUGAGCGUGCUUUCGAUACGGGUUGACUUGAGGAAGGUAGGGGAGAAUGGAAUUCCUGGUGGAGCGGUGGAAUGCGCAGAUAUCAGGAGGAACACCAGUGGCGAAGGCGGUUCUCUGGGCCUCUCCUGACGCUGAGGAGCGAAAGCGUGGGGAGCGAACAGGCUUAGAUACCCUGGUAGUCCACGCUGUAAACGGUGGGUACUAGGUGUGGGGUCCAUUCCACGGGUUCCGUGCCGUAGCUAACGCUUUAAGUACCCCGCCUGGGGAGUACGGCCGCAAGGCUAAAACUCAAAGGAAUUGACGGGGCCCCGCACAAGCGGCGGAGCAUGCGGAUUAAUUCGAUGCAACGCGUAGAACCUUACCUGGGUUUGACAUGGAUCGGGAGUGCUCAGAGAUGGGUGUGCCUCUUUUGGGGUCGGUUCACAGGUGGUGCAUGGCUGUCGUCAGCUCGUGUCGUGAGAUGUUGGGUUAAGUCCCGCAACGAGCGCAACCCUUGUUCACUGUUGCCAGCACGUUAUGGUGGGGACUCAGUGGAGACCGCCGGGGUCAACUCGGAGGAAGGUGGGGAUGACGUCAAGUCAUCAUACCCCUUAUGUCCAGGGCUUCACGCAUGCUACAAUGGCUGGUACAGAGAGUGGCGAGCCUGUGAGGGUGAGCGAAUCUCGGAAAGCCGGUCUCAGUUCGGAUUGGGGUCUGCAACUCGACCUCAUGAAGUCGGAGUCGCUAGUAAUCGCAGAUCAGCAACGCUGCGGUGAAUACGUUCCCGGGGCUUGUACACACCGCCCGUCAAGUCAUGAAAGUUGGUAACACCCGAAGCCGGUGGCCUAACCGUUGUGGGGGAGCCGUCGAAGGUGGGACUGGUGAUUAG